This 471-nucleotide ribosomal RNA is filed under the name Triticum aestivum (bread wheat). Its description in RNAcentral is "partial small subunit ribosomal RNA". The record is from RNAcentral. Lineage: Eukaryota; Viridiplantae; Streptophyta; Magnoliopsida; Poales; Poaceae.
AUGGAAGCUCGCACUGGCGCAGCACUCCUCCUCGCCGGCCUCCUUGCUCUUGCAACCAUCGCCAGCAGCAACACUGAAGGCGACAUCCUUUACAUGCAAAGGCGGGCGUGGAAGGACCCCAACAAUGUAGUGCAGAGCUGGGACCCCACCCUUUUCAACCCCUGCACUUGGCUCCAUGUCACCUGCAACAGCGACAACUCUGUCACCCGAGUGGAUUUGGCGGAUGCAGGCAUCUCAGGCACCCUGAUCCCUGAGCUGGGAGGACUGAAGAACCUUCAGUACCUGGAGCUGUUUACGAACAACAUUAGUGGAUCCAUACCAACAACCCUCGGCAACCUGACAAGCCUGGUCACCCUUGAUCUCUACGACAACCUUCUCACUGGCACGAUACCGGCCUCGCUUGCCAACAUCAGGAUGCUGCGUUUUCUGUACGAGUCUUGCUGCAGCAAUUUUCAGUUGAAGAGAUGCUAA